ACGAACGCUGGCGGUGCGCCUUAUGCAUGCAAGUCGAGCGAAGCUUUUCAGUAGUUUACUACAGAAAAUGACUGAGCGGCGAACGGGUGAGUAACGCGUGAGCAAUCUACCUUAGUUACAGGGAUAGCCCGAGGAAACUCGGAUUAAUACCUGAUAUUCUUUAUUUCUCGCAUGAGAAUAAAAGGAAAGGUCAGCCGAACUAAGAUGGUCUCGCGGCCUAUCAGGUAGUUGGUGAGGUAACGGCUCACCAAGGCUAUGACGGGUAGCUGGUCUGAGAGGACGAUCAGCCACACUGGAACUGAGACACGGUCCAGACUCCUACGGGAGGCAGCAGCAGGGAAUCUUGCGCAAUGGGCGAAAGCCUGAUGCAGCGACACCGCGUGCGGGAUGACGGCCUUCGGGUUGUAAGCCCCUUUCAGGAGGGAAGAAAAUGACGGUACCUGCAGAAGAAGCCCCGGCCAACUACGUGCCAGCAGCCGCGGUAAUACGUAGGGAGCAAACGUUGUCCGGAUUUAUUGGGCGUAAAGGGCUCGUAGGCGGUUCAACAAGUCGGUCGUGAAAGUUCAGGGCUCAACCCUGAAAUGUCGAUCGAUACUGUUGUGACUAGGAUACGGUAGAGGUGAGUGGAAUUCCGAGUGUAGCGGUGAAAUGCGUAGAUAUUCGGAGGAACACCAAUUGCGAAGGCAGCUCACUGGACCGCUAUCGACGCUGAGGAGCGAAAGCUAGGGGAGCAAACAGGAUUAGAUACCCUGGUAGUCCUAGCUGUAAACGAUGAGCACUAGAUUUUGUGGGUAUUGACCCCUGCAGAGUCGCAGCUAACGCAUUAAGUGCUCCGCCUGGGGAGUACGGUCGCUAGACUAAAACUCAAAGGAAUUGACGGGGGCCCGCACAAGCGGUGGAUUAUGUGGUUUAAUUCGAAGCUACGCGCAGAACCUUACCUAGGCUUGAAAUCCUGAGAAUCUUUUUUAAACGAAAGAGUGCCCUUCGGGGAAUUCAGUGACAGGCGCUGCAUGGCUGUCGUCAGCUCGUGUCGUGAGAUGUUGGGUUAAGUCUCGCAACGAGCGCAACCCCUAUCCUUAGUUGCCAGCAUUAAGUUGGGCACUCUAGGGAGACUGCCCGGGCUAACCGGGAGGAAGGUGGGGAUGACGUCAAGUCCUCAUGGCCCUUAUGCCUAGGGCUACACACGUAAUACAAUGGUUGAUACAGAGGGACGCGAACUCGCGAGGGGGAGCAAAUCUCAAAAAGUCAAUCUCAGUCCGGAUUGGAGUCUGCAACUCGACUCCAUGAAGUUGGAAUCGCUAGUAAUCGUGGAUCAGCACGCCACGGUGAAUACGUUCCCGGGCCUUGUACACACCGCCCGUCACG
RNAcentral lists this ribosomal RNA (1365 nucleotides) under uncultured prokaryote. Its description in RNAcentral is "partial 16S ribosomal RNA". It matches the Rfam family "Bacterial small subunit ribosomal RNA", at positions 29 to 1401 of the family's 1533-position model. The record is from RNAcentral.